CUGAACGCCUCUAAGUCAGAAUCCAUGCCAGAACGCGGUGAUACCACCCGCACGUAUAGAUGGACAAGAAUAGGCUUCGGCUUAGCGUCUUAGCAGGCGAUUCUUCCACGGCGCUCGAAGCGCGUCGUGGUAUUUCGCGUAUUGUAAUUUCAACACGAGCGGGGUCAAAUCCUUUGCAGACGACUUAGCUGUGCGAAACGGUCCUGUAAGCAGUAGAGUAGCCUUGUUGUUACGAUCUGCUGAGGGUAAGCCGUCCUUCGCCUCGAUUUCCCCAAUGGGUUCUCCGGAUUUCUGGAGACUUGUAGGGGUUGUGGGAUUUUUGAUGUGUCGUCUCCGGACGGGCGGUGCAGGGUAGUCGAGUUAGACUUGGUGGAAUUCCGUCGAUAGGAGUUCCGUCGAGUCUGGUCGGCUGUGUGUUGGACGGUGCAGGGUAGGCUGCUUGGACAUGGUCGGUUCGAGGAUCGAUUCGAGGGCCGGCGCCUAUCGAUGAUGUGUGAUGUAUGCGGUCUAGGGUAGGCUGGUUUGUCUUGGUCCAAUUUGAUGUCGGCUCCCGUGCAGGCCAGAGUGAAGGGGGGUCCAGGGUAGGUACAGGGUAGGCAGCUUAUAUUUGGUCGGUCUGGAGGUCGAUUCUCUGGCUGGCGGAUCUGACACUGUCGAAACGAGAUGCGAGCGGUGUAGGGUAGGCUAGUUUCGUCCUCGCCAGGUUGCGAUUUGGACGAGAUAUGUGGUUCAGGGUAGGCUCUAGGGUAAGUAGAAUUCGAGUUUCGUCGCCGACAGUUUUCUGUGUGUGUAUGGUAGGUGCAGGGUAGGCAAAUCUCUCUCCGGCCAGUACUUGUCUGGUGGUCGUGAGUCGAUUUUUUUGUUUUGCCAUACUAUUGAAUUUUGCGGAAAUUCAAAAGUGGCUCGGGAGUCCCGCCUGGCGUGCGUCCGACUCGAACAUCGUCGGUGUACAUAUGAGAGGGAGUAAUCCGGCCCGGCCGGGGCCCAUCGCGAGCUGCAGGGUAGGUAAAAGUAAAAAAGUUGUUAAGAGGCGCGGUGUCGGCGUGCUUGUAUUUGCGGGAGAGAAUUAUCUGGAGGUGCUGGGUAGCCGGGAAGACUUGGAUGGAUCUGGCCCGGGAAUGGGUCUGCGCCUGGAUUCUGGUGUGGUGUAGGGUAGGUGUAGAUAGAUGAGUGGUCUAGGGUAGGUACAGGGUAGCUAGAAGUCUGGUAUAUAGUAUUGGGGGGGUGUAGGGUAGGUCUGGGCACUGUUUUCCGCUUCGCCCUUCCCUUUACUCGAGGGGAGGACGAUCUUGGCUGGGACGGAGGUGUAGGGUAGGCUUAAUUUACGAUUAUAUAAUCUGCAUCACUCUAGGGUAGCUGAAAAUCUUAUAUGUAUCUGGUCACAUUUGGUGAAGAGGUUGGUUUGGAUGGUGAGAUGAACAAAAGUGCAAUGUAGAAUUGUAUAUGAUUUUGCAAAAGUGGGCGUGAAAUUGGAAAGUCGGUUUUCCCGCGCAGAUGAGAGCAUGUUUGAGGUGCCAUGAGAUGCACCUCUCCGAGACGACCUCAACGGUACCACCCAUGUGUUGGUCGGACUCCUGUGCGGCCGUCCAGGGCGGGAUAAGUAGAGAAUAUGGUGGUGUAGGGUAGGUGGCCGGGUCCAGGGUAGGUUCACCAAAUCCGUCAAUUCGGCUUGAAUCGAAGGGCAGGUCUAGGGUAGGCCGGAGUAGGGUCUAGGGUAGGCAACUCUCACCCUCGAAGUGGUCUACCCGGUAGCCAACUUCAAUCGCCUCUCACGGCCGCCACGGACCUCGCAUGACGACGGGACUACCACCAUCGGAUUCGCCUUGGUCGAAAUAGCUGGUAUAUGCACUUUUGAAAAAAUGCGUGCAAAAUGGUUUUGUGGUUUGGUGGCCGUGAGUCGAUUUUUUUGUUUUCCCAUACAAAUGAAUUUUGCGGAAAAUAAAAAGUGGCCCACGAGGCAGUCCUGGCGUGCGGCCCACUAAAACGGUCUCGGAGGGUAUAUGAGAAGGGAGCAAAUCCGGCCGAGCCUGAAAGGGUGAGGACAAACCGGGCGAGCAACCUCUCAGUAUCAGAUCUUGCAGACUUCCACUGCGUGUCCCUCUGUACAGCUUUGCAGGCUCCGGCCUCGGCAGCGGGGGGUUCAUAGUGGUCGUCGACCUCCACGAAACUGCACGCUCCGGCGUGACAGCGUACUGGGGAUGCCUGUGUAGAUGCAGUCCGGGCUUGCCUGGACCGCUAGCAGAUGGGCUCUGUGGAUGACUGGCCGCUGGCUAGACCUGAAACCUGAGCAACGGGAGGUAACCUCUCGCCGCGGACACCGGAAUGGUAGAAGCGGCGUGCUGCGUCCUCCUCUUGGGGCCCCUAAGCCACACCUCCCAUAGCGGGUUCGGUGCGGCGGACGGACGCCCUGGGGAAUUUAGAGGGGGAAAGCGGAUUGCCCUAGCGGUGUCGUUGGCCCUGCCGACCUCACUGCGAAAGGCGCGACUUCACCGUCGCCACCCAGUAACUUGUCUCUCCGGCGCUUCACGGCGCUGGUGGCCAACCCCGGCACACGAUAGUUACCUGGUUGAUUCUGCCAGUAGUCAUAUGCUUGUCUC
This 2597-nucleotide unclassified non-coding RNA is filed under the name Fusarium oxysporum f. sp. dianthi. Its description in RNAcentral is "partial contains 28S ribosomal RNA, 28S-18S ribosomal RNA intergenic spacer and 18S ribosomal RNA". The stretch from base 1 to 271 matches the Rfam family "Eukaryotic large subunit ribosomal RNA", at positions 3120 to 3401 of the family's 3401-position model. Lineage: Eukaryota; Fungi; Ascomycota; Sordariomycetes; Hypocreales; Nectriaceae. The record is from RNAcentral.